RNAcentral lists this ribosomal RNA (492 nucleotides) under uncultured bacterium. Its description in RNAcentral is "partial 16S ribosomal RNA". It matches the Rfam family "Bacterial small subunit ribosomal RNA", at positions 29 to 507 of the family's 1533-position model. The record is from RNAcentral.
AGUGAACGCUGGCGGUAGGCCUAACACAUGCAAGUCGAACGGCAGCACAGUAAGAGCUUGCUCUUACGGGUGGCGAGUGGCGGACGGGUGAGGAAUACAUCGGAAUCUACUUUUUCGUGGGGGAUAACGUAGGGAAACUUACGCUAAUACCGCAUACGACCUACGGGUGAAAGCAGGGGAUCUUCGGACCUCGCGCGAUUGAAUGAGCCGAUGUCGGAUUAGCUAGUUGGCGGGGUAAAGGCCCACCAAGGCGACGAUCCGUAGCUGGUCUGAGAGGAUGAUCAGCCACAAUGGAACUGAGACACGGUCCAGACUCCUACGGGAGGCAGCAGUGGGGAAUAUUGGACAAUGGGCGCAAGCCUGAUCCAGCCAUACCGCGUGGGUGAAGAAGGCCUUCGGGUUGUAAAGCCCUUUUGUUGGGAAAGAAAAGCAGCAGGUUAAUACCCCGCUGUUCUGACGGUACCCAAAGAAUAAGCACCGGCUAACUUCGUG